This 222-nucleotide long non-coding RNA is filed under the name Capra hircus (goat). RNAcentral's name for it is "lncRNA (ENSCHIG00010030061.1)". Lineage: Eukaryota; Metazoa; Chordata; Mammalia; Artiodactyla; Bovidae. The record is from RNAcentral.
AUGUUUACUAAAAGGAUGCUUGUGAGGACAGAGUCAUGGGGCUUCUGUCUACUGGGACUAUUCCUUGAAACAAAUUCUCCCCUUCAAUCCAUUCAGGAUACACUCUUUCCUGCACCUUGGAGCCCGAUGUUCUUCUGUCUGCAGAACAGAUGUGGAAGACAGAAGAGUGAAUCGGUGGACAGAACCAGCUUUGCCAUCAGACAAUCCAGAAGUGAAUCUUCA